AUUUAGUUUAUUUAGUUGAGUAAGACUACUUCUAUAUUACUACUAUAUAAAAGAGUGAAAGGUGGGACGACCAAGGGUAUUUUAAUAAUUUUCUUCUAUAUACAAUUUCUAGAAGAUAAGGAAUGACCAAGGGUAAAAGUGUCAUUUCACUCGGGUAAGAAAAUAUCAUAGACUUCUCCACACAAACAACAUGUAUCUAGAAACAUUUAUACGUCUCUUUCACUUUUUUUUUACGCUUUCAAGAAUGGUUUCUUAGUUUUCAUGUCUCAAGAACAUUUUUAUCCUCUUUAUCUUCACUGUGGACACGUUUCAGUCUGCAGGUCAAAUCUUUGUUUGAAUCUUCACCUACACUUAUGGAUUUUUCAAUGUCCGAGUAAAAUGCUAAUCAAUUUCUUUUUUCUCCUCCCAAUUUUUAUAUAAUCUUCGUUAAAUUACUUAAAUUUUUUUGUUUAAUAUUCCUAAAAAAUAUGUAUUUCAUGAAUCUCAAUAACUAAGGAAAUAAAGUGGUAGAUUUCUCUAUGAAAAAAGAAAAAAAUAGUAACAUUAGUGUUUAAUCUAUGUAAAUAUUAGUCUUAUUUUAUGUUGAAAUGUCUGAAUUUGAAAAGUUCUGAAUUAUUUUGUCUGUCAUAACAUAGAAUUCUUUCAAUUUGAGGAGUUGUAACAAAGUGAAAUCAUCUCGUGUAGGCUGAUUUUCUGCAUAUUAGUGUAUUAUUUAAAUUUGAGACCAAAAAUAAUAAUUACGAAGCUAAUAUAAUACUAUAAAAGACUAUAAAAGAUGUGAGUAUGUUUUCACAGCUAAAUUUACGUUGAUGUUCUUCACAAUAGUGUCUUAUAAACAAGGUGAAACACAAAGAAACUCUUCAAUGCACUGUGAACCUAUUGAAAUUGCACGAAUUUGUUUUCUUCCUCGACUCAAGUUAUUACACAUUGUUUCAUUUUUACUCUUCCGUUGAUCUUGAUGUGUUAUAUAUACACUAUUCUAUUCUGAAACCUCAAAAUUUGAUGAGAUUAUUGCUUUAUUCAAGCACCAUGAUUGAGAUAUAAGUUUUUUCAUAACUGUUGCAAUGACUCUUCAAUAGAAGGUAAAUAGCUAUAUUAAGAGAUAAGAUGUUGGUAUCUCUUUUCUCACAUUGUCAUAUAUGUCUAAGUUUUAUGGUAAUGCUUCUCUAGAACCAAAUGUUCCAACAUAUAUAAGUUACAUAGAUAGCCACAUGUAAGAGUAGUGCUUAUUGCUCUCAAUCCCUCCAAUCUUCUAGGUUCGAUUGCAUUCACUCUUGUUCCAAUAGGAAAUUAUUACUUUUGUUGA
Long non-coding RNA from Solanum lycopersicum (tomato), 1306 nucleotides. RefSeq lists it as uncharacterized. Lineage: Eukaryota; Viridiplantae; Streptophyta; Magnoliopsida; Solanales; Solanaceae. The record is from RefSeq and is a predicted model, not a curated record.